Lonchura striata (white-rumped munia) is the source of this 958-nucleotide non-coding RNA. The record is from RefSeq and is a predicted model, not a curated record. Lineage: Eukaryota; Metazoa; Chordata; Aves; Passeriformes; Estrildidae.
GAGCUGGUCAGUCCCAGGGUCAGAGCCCGAAUGCGGAUGCCCAGUAACUCUCAGCCUUAAAGCCACGAGGGGUUGUUGCUAUGGGAAUGGAGAGGGGGCUUGCAGGCAGCAUCUGGAGCCUGUGUCUCUCCCUGUCCGAGGCAGCUGGAUUCGGAGGGAAGCAAAACUAAAAGGAGGUGGCAGAGAGAGACAGAGGCACAGCAAAAUGCAUGCAUGUUAGAGGAGGGACCUUCCCAGAAUGAGAGUACAGUGGGAUACAGAAGAGCGGGGACACCAAACUGUCAGGCAGCGGUGGCUCGGCUGGGUAGGAUAAACCUGAUUUUCUGCUCUGAUUGACACUGGAAACAAGUCCGGUGAGAGCCCAGCUGUAGCAAGAUGGGAUCUGCCUCCUCCACUUACCGGCCCAAAUGUAUUUAUUUGGACAUUGAUGGAAGAAUUCAAAAGCAGUUCUUUGGCCGCAAACCAAGCGCCUUUUCUGUAACAGAGCUGCUGAGAGGCUCCAGAACAAGCAAACUCUGAUUUGCAAAAUUCAGAUCACUCUGCUCUUCCAGCUCUAAAUUUUCGGUUCAGCCAAUCUCGCCUUUUUGGUUUUUAAUCCUGUAAAGAAACAGCAAGGGAAAAUGCCCUGUCCUUUGCCUCCGCUCUGCUGUGCGAGUGAAUGGAGAGCUGGUACUCGCAGUCCCACCCAGCACGCCUCCAGCCCCCUCCACCACUGCCCCGGAGACCCACGGCGAGCGCUCAAAGUCGCGUCCUCAGGAACGGGACCUUGGAGAAUCCAGAUCUGUGCCGGAUUCCCCCGAGAAAGCUGCUCCUCUUGAUCCAUCAGACGUAGCUCAGUCGUGAUGAUGGUCCCUCUGCUGCCGUCAGAUUGUCCCUGCCGGCUCUGCUGAGCUGAGGGCUCUGAUUCUCUUUUUCCCAGGGUUUAAUAAAUUGGUUGCCUGGUGGCCUCGCCAAAGCA